This 275-nucleotide long non-coding RNA is filed under the name Elaeis guineensis (African oil palm). RNAcentral's name for it is "long non-coding RNA (EGUI_LNC018860)". The record is from RNAcentral. Lineage: Eukaryota; Viridiplantae; Streptophyta; Magnoliopsida; Arecales; Arecaceae.
UCCCGAAUAUAUUCAUGAGUAUGGAAUCUUGUCAAACUCAAAUACAUAUUCAUAUCAAUUCUUCAUCAAUCAAUGAUGACUCCGAUGAUGAAGCAUUAGAAAUCCUUUCUAAUCUUCAUCCUGCUUUGACUAAAGACUUUCUGAGUCAUCUAUAGAUAAGAAUGCACAGGAUGUCAUCUCUUACUAGGAGUGAUCGAUUCUUUAUUGACCAACUCACAACUUUCAUACAUACUCCAUACUCAGAACAUCCCGUACAUGUCCUUAAUGUCAUACCU